GCCCCGGUAGCUCAGCCUGGUAGAGCGCCGGCCUUGUAAGCCGGAGAGGGGACUCCCACGGAGGA
Molecule: transfer RNA, 65 nt
Filed under: Thermofilum sp.
Lineage: Archaea; Thermoproteati; Thermoproteota; Thermoprotei; Thermofilales; Thermofilaceae
Description: tRNA-Thr
Rfam family: tRNA
About the family: Transfer RNA (tRNA) molecules are approximately 80 nucleotides in length. Their secondary structure includes four short double-helical elements and three loops (D, anti-codon, and T loops).
Source: RNAcentral